RNAcentral lists this ribosomal RNA (516 nucleotides) under Leafhopper (Xestocephalinae) ash yellows phytoplasma. RNAcentral describes it as "bacterial SSU rRNA". It matches the Rfam family "Bacterial small subunit ribosomal RNA", at positions 483 to 1006 of the family's 1533-position model. The record is from RNAcentral. Lineage: Bacteria; Bacillati; Mycoplasmatota; Mollicutes; Acholeplasmatales; Acholeplasmataceae.
UGAAUAGCCGGCUACUAUGUGCCAGCAGCCGCGGUAAGACAUAGGGGGCGAGCGUUAUCCGGAAUUAUUGGGCGUAAAGGGUGCGUAGGCGGUUAGGAAAGUCUAUAAUUUAAUUUCAGUGCUUAACGCUGUCUUGUUAUAGAAACUACCUUGACUAGAGUUAGAUAGAGGCAAGCGGAAUUCCAUGUGUAGCGGUAAAAUGUGUAAAUAUAUGGAGGAACACCAGAAGCGUAGGCGGCUUGCUGGGUCUUGACUGACGCUGAGGCACGAAAGCGUGGGUAGCAAACAGGAUUAGAUACCCUGGUAGUCCACGCCGUAAACGAUGAGUACUAAGUGUCGGGAUAAAACUCGGUACUGAAGUUAACACAUUAAGUACUCCGCCUGAGUAGUACGUACGCAAGUAUGAAACUUAAAGGAAUUGACGGGACUCCGCACAAGCGGUGGAUCAUGUUGUUUAAUUCGAAGAUACACGAAAAAUCUUACCAGGUCUUGACAUGCUCUGCAAAGUUAUAGAAA